RNAcentral lists this ribosomal RNA (723 nucleotides) under Echinostomatidae sp. JAM2101899. Its description in RNAcentral is "partial 28S ribosomal RNA". It matches the Rfam family "Eukaryotic large subunit ribosomal RNA", at positions 311 to 734 of the family's 3401-position model. Lineage: Eukaryota; Metazoa; Platyhelminthes; Trematoda; Plagiorchiida; Echinostomatidae. The record is from RNAcentral.
CAAGGCUAANUACNUGCACGAGUCCGAUAGCGAACAAGUACCGUGAGGGAAAGUUGAAAAGUACUUUGAAGAGAGAGUAAACAGUGCGUGAAACCGCUCAGAGGUAAACGGGUGGAGUUGAACUGCAAGCUCUGAGGAUUCAGCUGGUGAGUUUGGCAUGAGCUUGGUCAUGUGGGUUGUGUGUUCGGGUCUGCUUAGCUGCAGGUCCUCGCCUUUGGUGGGGAUGCGCGUAUCGCUUAUCAAGCGUUGUGCGCCCGUUCUUCUCGGACCUGCUCGCCAGUGCACUUUCUCAGAGUGUUCACCACGACCGGCGUUGUCGUCUGGCUGGGUGCGGUUAAACCGGCCUUGUAGGGUCCUUGUGGCCUUGCCUGGUCGGGAUGGCAGGUAGCCCGUUGUGUACUUUCGGUGUGCUUCGGGUGUAAUAGCCGACUGCAUCGGUUCUGUGCGAUACGUCGGAGACGGCGGCUUGUUGUGCGUGCGGGCGUGCCUGUUGCGCUGGCGGCUCUGGGUCUGGUUGCCUUGUUGCUUGUAAAUGCAAGCCAGGUGAUGGCCUGGGGUCGUUUGGUGUGCGGUUGCGUUCGUGGCACUUUAAAGGGCCUACAGUCUGUGGUGUAGUGGUAGACUAUCCACCUGACCCGUCUUGAAACACGGACCAAGGAGAGUAACAUGUGCGCGAGUCAUUGGGCGUUACGAAACCCAAAGGCGAAGUGAAAGUAAAGGUUC